AUACGUAGGGAGCAAGCGUUGUCCGGAUUUACUGGGUGUAAAGGGUGCGUAGGCGGCUAGGCAAGUCAGACGUGAAAACCAUGGGCUCAACCUGUGGACUGCGUUUGAAACUGUUUAGCUUGAGUGAAGUAGAGGUAGGCGGAAUUCCCGGUGUAGCGGUGAAAUGCGUAGAGAUCGGGAGGAACACCAGUGGCGAAGGCGGCCUACUGGGCUUUAACUGACGCUGAGGCACGAAAGCAUGGGUAGC
This 247-nucleotide ribosomal RNA is filed under the name uncultured bacterium. RNAcentral's name for it is "partial 16S ribosomal RNA". It matches the Rfam family "Bacterial small subunit ribosomal RNA", at positions 523 to 769 of the family's 1533-position model. The record is from RNAcentral.